CCUACGGGCGGCAGCAGUGAGGAAUAUUGGUCAAUGGCCGAGAGGCUGAACCAGCCAAGUCGCGUGAGGGAUGACGGCCCUACGGGUUGUAAACCUCUUUUGUCGGGGAGCAAAGAGCGGGACGCGUCCCGCCUCGAGAGUACCCGGAGAAAAAGCAUCGGCUAACUCCGUGCCAGCAGCCGCGGUAAUACGGAGGAUGCGAGCGUUAUCCGGAUUUAUUGGGUUUAAAGGGUGCGUAGGCGGAGGGGUAAGUCAGCGGUGAAAUUGAGGGGCUCAACCCCUUCACGCCAUCUAAACUGGUUGGACGAGAGAAGAGUUGCGGGAGGCGGAAGGUAUGGUGGAGCGGUGAAAUGAGGAGAGAUCAUACAGAACACCGAGUGCGAAGGCAGAGUACCAAACUAUAUAUGACGUUGAGGCAGGAAGGCGGGGGGAGCAAACAGGAGGAGAGACACUGGGAGUA
Molecule: ribosomal RNA, 460 nt
Filed under: uncultured bacterium
Lineage: Bacteria
Description: partial 16S ribosomal RNA
Rfam family: Bacterial small subunit ribosomal RNA
Source: RNAcentral